AAGAUUGAUGGGUUGAAGCAGCUGAAUUUCAGUAAGAACAGGUUGGUCGGUUCUUUGCCUGCUUUUAAUGGCUUUGUUGGGUUAGAGUCGUUGGAUUUUUCCAGUAACAUGUUGAAUGGAACAAUUGUUUCACAGUUAGGGUCAUUGAAUGAUCUAAAAAGAUUGUACCUUACGUCCAAUAAUUUGAGUGGUAAUGUUCCCAUCAACCUUGGAAAUUCCAAGGUGUUAGAGCAUCUUAUUCUUUCCAAGAAUUCCUUCACUGGUAGUAUUCCUGAUGGGCUCCUAGAAUAUCGGAAGUUGGUUCGGAUUGAUUUGAGUGAAAAUCAACUUUCUGGGCCUUUACCUGGGAAAAUUGGAGACCUUUCCGAGCUGGAAGAGUUGACUCUGUCUUCCAAUAAUUUGAGUGGAGAAAUCCCAAUGAACCUUUCAAAUUUCCAAAAUCUUUUGAGAUUCGCCGCGAAUCAGAACAAGUUCACAGGCAAUAUUCCAGUUGGAAUUUCAAGAUCUCUCAAGAACUUGGAUCUUAGUUAUAAUAAAUUAGGUGGGCCAAUUCCUGCUGACCUUUUGAUGCAGUCGAAUUUGCAGACAGUGGAUCUUUCUUACAAUCUGCUAGAGGGAUCAAUACCUGCAAAAAUAUCUCCAAACAUGGUUAGGUUGAGAUUAGGAAGCAAUUCACUUGAUGGUACUAUCCCAUCUGAACUUGGAACGCUACCGAAAUUGACUUACUUGGAGCUGGAAAACAAUAGCUUGUCGGGAUCCAUCCCUUCCAAGUUGGGUUCUUGCCGGAGUUUGGCGCUGUUGAAUCUGGGAAUGAAUAACUUGACUGGCAGUCUGCCUGUGGAGUUGGCUAGUCUUAGCAGUCUUCAAGUUCUGAAGCUUCAGUCCAACAAGCUGGUUGGUGAGAUCCCAUAUCAGAUGAACCAAAUGCAAAGUUUGUCCACUCUGGAUAUUAGUGGGAAUUUGCUUAGUGGUUCAAUCCCAAAUUCAAUUUCAAGGUUGCGGAGUCUCACCAAGUUGAACUUACAAGGCAACCUUUUCAAUGGUUCAAUACCUGCAACAAUUGACAGCUUGAAGAAUCUGUUAGAACUUCAGCUUGGAAGCAAUCGACUGAAUGGCCAUAUUCCAGGGAUGCCACUUAGCUUGCAGAUUGCUUUGAAUCUCAGCCACAACCUCUUCGAAGGAACUAUCCCUGAUACUCUCUCUCGUUUGCGGGGUUUAGAAGUAUUGGAUCUCUCAAACAACAAAUUCUCAGGUGAGAUUCCAACUUCUCUGACACAAAUUGGAUCACUGACACAACUGCUACUUGCAAAUAAUCAGCUGUCUGGAGUGAUUCCGGAGUUUGGAAAAUAUGUUACCAUCAUUGAUACAACGGGAAAUCCAAGGCUAGUUAACAGAACAUUACAACGUAAAUCUCCCUAGAGAUCGCCAGGGCCAGGCAAGAGGAAGUCAGUUGCAGUGGCGGUGGUUGUUGCAGUUUCAGUUGCAGCUGCAUUUCUUGGUAUUGGAGUAGCAGUUGUGAUUGUUGUAUCUAUCCCAAGACGAUUUUACAGGGUGGUGAAGGAUGAACAAUUAGGAGCAACAUAAGAACUCCCACCCCCACCCCCCUAGGGUGGUCCAAGGAAAUCUUUUCACUGCAAAUGGUAUCCGCAGCCAUCAAAAUUUUUUUGUAGUGAAUUAAAUUAUCACUAAAUUGGUGUUAAAAAUUAUGGUUUCCCAAAUCAGCAAAAUUUGGGCUCGACAAGUGAGGGUCACACACAUUUGACAUGUAAUAUAUAUUAAAAAAUGUGACACAUGACGAAAUUUAGAAGACUACAAAAUUUAGUUUUAUAUAUUAAAUUAAAUCUUUCUAUUGCAGUCAAAAGAAAAUUAAAAAAAUAAAUAUUUUCUUAUUGACAAAUUUAUUUAAUGAAGAAGACAAGUUAUUAAAAUCAAUGAACCAAUUUCUUUAAAUUAAACAACUAAAUCUUAGGGAUUCCAAAUUUAAUUUCUUAAAUUUACCUAUAAAUAAUGAUGACUUCCUUCAUUGAAGGGGAGUUUAGAUCAACAAAACGACUCCACAAAGGAAGAGAAGCUUCAUACGAAGAAAAAACCUCACAAAAUCUCAUUGCAAAUUUGAGAAAUCAUAGAAGAAUUACACACGCAUUCUUCGCCUUUUAACAAAGUCAUUCGAAAAUAAGUCACGCUAAGUCCUUAAUUGACUUUCAAAACAAAGAAAAUACUUUCUUCGUUUGCUUUUGAAUUGUGAUCAAAAUAAAAAAAUUUGAGGAAAAAUAUUAUUUUUUAAAAGAAUAUCAAUAUAAAGAUUGUAUCCCACAAUUAUUAAUUUUAAUAAAUUUUUGUUUUGCUUAAUCAACAAUAACUCAAUCUAUAAGAAAUAUAUGAUCACCUUAUAUCUUACUCGUAGAUCAAAGGUAUUGAUGACUCGAUAUGAUCGUAAUGUUUGAAUAGAAUAAUAAAUGGAAAUCGAUUAAUCAUACUAUUCAUGACUUUAUUAUAAUAUUUAGGGCUAAUCUAUUCACCUCCCUAGAGAAUAUCACUAAAUACAUCUAACUUAUAUAAGUUUGAAAUUUUAUUAAAUGUCUUCUUAAUUUGCAGUGAGAGGGGAGGUAAGUGAAAAUUAAAAAUGAGAAUGAUAAGAAAGGUGUAUGAAAAAAUUUCAAACCAAUGGGAACCACUUUAGGAAUAAAAUUAACUCUGAUAUUAUAAUAUUGUUAUUUAUAAAUAAUAUAUUCAAAAUAAAUAAUAAAUAUUAAACUUAUUAUAUAAAAUUAAUUAAUUUUAUAGUAUGUCUAUUAAUUAAUUUUACUAUUAUAAAAAUAUAUUAUUUAACUAUAACAAAAUGAUUUUUAUUAAUUUUCAAAAAUUUUAUAAUUUUUAUUUAUUUAUUUUUAUAACGACAAGAAAAGUUGAUGUCAAUGGUGAAAUCCUUAAAAUUGUGAAAGUGUAGAGAAUAGUUAUGUUUGGUUUCCAGAAAAUAUAAAGAAAAGAAAAAAAUAUUAAAAAAAAUAGUUUUCUUAUGUUUGAUUGUCUUAUAAAAUAUUUUAAAAAAAAUUAAAUAUAAUUAAAAUUAGUUAGAAACUUUUAUGUUUUAAAAUUAUUUAAUUUUUACAUUGAUAAUUUAAAAUAAAUAAAAUAAAUUUAAAAUAAUAAAUAAAAAUAAUUUAUUAUUUUUAACUCUAAUUUUUAUUUUUUUUCAUUUUUUUUCUUUCCUUUUACUUUUCUUUCCUAUUUUCUUUCUUUUCAUUUUCCGAGAUAGGGAAAAACUUGAGCGUUUGCCCGAUCUUGGUUUGAAACUUCCACUUUCAAUAUACGCGUAUUUGAAAAUGAGCGCCUCCUCGGUCCACAAGGAAGGUCACAUCUGGGCCCCACCAAAAAGACUAAGCCCACUAGUCAAGCCCUUAUUAACCUUAUUUCUGGGACCCACCCCCACAAAGACCUGUUUGUCAAAAAGGUAAAUGCCCAUCGUUCCAAAAUGAAAAAACAAAGCAAGAAAAAGACCUAAACUCCCAAAUGUGAGUGUCUGAUGUGCGGUCAAAGUCAACAAACAUUUAAAACGCAAACAAACAGGUCCUAAGCCGCUCUCCGUCACCAGUCACCACUGACUAGGCUUGGGUCUUUGCAGUAACAGCAGUCCAGUCAACGCCACUCCGAACACGCACUUCCUCAUUUUUCUCUCUUUUUUUAUUCUUUGUUUCCCACCCUUUUCCUUCCCACCAAACAAGAACUUCCUAGCAUCCGUCUUUUCUUUUCUUUGGCCUCUGAACAUUUGAACCCAAAAUAGAGAUAUAUACUAAAUGAUAUAGCAUAUUGAGUGCUUGUAUAUUAAAUAAGGGGGUGAGGAGUCUUCUGAGUGCCAGAGAAAGAUGAGGAGCCAUGAGCAGAGGGUCUAUUUCUUCUUCUUCUUCUUGUCUUCUGUUCCUUUUGUGCUGUCUCUGUCUUCGACUCAGAAAGAAAUCAUGGAGAAGCUAUCUCGGAGCGUCUUAGUCUGGGGAAAUGAAAAGGAGCCAAACCCAUGUGCAUGGAAGGGAGUUUCAUGCAGCUCCGACUACUCCUCAAUAGCCAAUCUUUCCCUCUCGGGAUUGUCUCUCUCUGACUCUAGUUUUCUGCCACUUGUCUGUGAGAUUGUGUCUUUGGAAGCUCUUGACCUCUCCGACAACUCUUUCAGCUCUGUUCCAGAAGGGUUCAUCACUGCUUGUGGGAAGAUUGAUGGGUUGAAGCAGCUGAAUUUCAGUAAGAACAGGUUGGUCGGUUCUUUGCCUGCUUUUAAUGGCUUUGUUGGGUUAGAGUCGUUGGAUUUUUCCAGUAACAAGUUGAAUGGAACAAUUGUUUCACAGUUAGGGUCAUUGAAUGAUCUAAAAAGAUUGUACCUUACGUCCAAUUAUUUGAGUGGUAAUGUUCCCAUCAACCUUGGAAAUUCCAAGGUGUUAGAGCAUCUUAUUCUUUCCAAGAAUUCCUUCACUGGUAGUAUUCCUGAUGGGCUCCUAGAAUAUCGGAAGUUGGUUCGGAUUGAUUUGAGUGAAAAUCAACUUUCUGGGCCUUUACCUGGGAAAAUUGGAGACCUUUCCAAGCUGGAAGAGUUGAUUCUGUCUUCCAAUAAUUUGAGUGGAGAAAUCCCUAUGAACCUUUCAAAUUUCCAAAAUCUUUUGAGAUUCGCCGCGAAUCAGAACAAGUUUAUAGGCAAUAUUCCAGUUGGAAUUUCAAGAUCUCUCAAGAAUUUGGAUCUUAGUUAUAAUAAAUUAGGUGGGCAAAUUCCAACUGACCUUUU
RNAcentral lists this long non-coding RNA (4765 nucleotides) under Vitis vinifera (wine grape). RNAcentral's name for it is "long non-coding RNA (VVIN_LNC006185)". The record is from RNAcentral. Lineage: Eukaryota; Viridiplantae; Streptophyta; Magnoliopsida; Vitales; Vitaceae.